AUCCAGCUGAUGAGUCCUAAAUAGAACGAAACACGCGUCCUGGAU
RNAcentral lists this non-coding RNA (45 nucleotides) under Schistosoma bovis. The record is from RNAcentral. Lineage: Eukaryota; Metazoa; Platyhelminthes; Trematoda; Strigeidida; Schistosomatidae. RNAcentral also lists the same sequence under 1 other name.